Molecule: long non-coding RNA, 904 nt
Filed under: Takifugu rubripes (torafugu)
Lineage: Eukaryota; Metazoa; Chordata; Actinopteri; Tetraodontiformes; Tetraodontidae
Description: lncRNA (ENSTRUG00000026480.1)
Source: RNAcentral
GGCGUAUUGAGCUGGCCCAUGUCACGUGACAGGAGACAGCAAAUGAGCAUCAACGUGCAACACAGCCCGCCGAGCCGACACAGUCAGCAAAAGGCAGAGCCGGAGGAAAAUCUGAGAUGGCAGUCAAAAAAACUAAGCGUGGUGUGGUGUUAUUAUUCACCAGUCGAUAAAACCACUGCGAGGUGCCAGGUGUGUGAUAAACAUGUUUUGCACAGUAGCAACACAAUUAAUUUAUUCAAACAUUUGAAGACGACGCAUCCCGAGAGCCACAGUGAGCUUGAAAAAAGACAGGCUGCUGCGAAAGCCCAGUCUCCUGCGCCACCCGCAGUCCGGCAGAAGACCCUGCACGAGAGUCUGCAAAAAAGCAAAUCCAGCUGUGAUAACCUGCAGGAGUGCAGGUUGCCCAAAGUAAAGAAAAUGGCUUUGACGUGCGACGUCGACUCCUCCACCGCCGUCAAUUCAGCUUUCUACAUUUGUGAGAACAAGUUUCCAGAUAAACGUACUGUCAUUGCCUGCAAGGAUCAGACUGCCGACUUAAAGUGUGAAAAGGGUGUUAUUCGCAUCAUCAAGUCCAAUUACGGACAUCUCGACCAGAACACCUGCACAGACACGCCUUCUGAAAACAGCUUCUGUGGAACGAAAGACUUUGAAGAAGAUGUGAAACGCAUGUGCAACGGUAGAAAAGAGUGUUCAAUUCCAGGCACUGCCGAAGACCAGAUAUUUUAUAGAUUCUGUGAUGAAUCCCCCAAGUAUGUGUACGUGUCCUACGUCUGUGAAGCAUAGGAUAAGUACACAAUGAACACCAACAGUUGGUGUACAGGUGACCUGAAGAUGGAGGAUUUCUCCUGCAUCUGAGGAACCUUGUUCCAAAUCUAAAAAGUAAAUGACCCAAUUAAUAAAAGAG